GGGUUGGCUCAGUGGUUAAGAGCACUCGUUCUUGCAAAGGACCUGGGUUCAAUUCCCAGCACCCA
This 65-nucleotide transfer RNA is filed under the name Neotoma lepida (desert woodrat). The record is from Rfam by way of RNAcentral. Lineage: Eukaryota; Metazoa; Chordata; Mammalia; Rodentia; Cricetidae.